RNAcentral lists this unclassified non-coding RNA (1052 nucleotides) under Bombus terrestris (buff-tailed bumblebee). Its description in RNAcentral is "misc RNA ENSBTSG00005036987.1". The record is from RNAcentral. Lineage: Eukaryota; Metazoa; Arthropoda; Insecta; Hymenoptera; Apidae.
GAAACAAGAGUACACGAGAGUAGGAGAGUAGGAGGAGGUGGAGGAAAGGGGCAGAAAAAGACGGGCGAAGGAAGACGGGUCGAGGGAGAGAGCUGGAAAAAUAUAACCUGUUGGACCGUGAGGGAGAGAGAGCGAAGAGGCGCAGGCGCGAACAGGACGAGCGAUUCAGUGAACGACAGCGAGAAAGAGAAGAAAAGAGAGGCGGCAAAGCGAGACAGCCUCGUUAGUUCAAGAAGAGGGGAACUCGAGGAGCGAGUGCUAGCGGAGGAAAAGAGAAAGAGAAGGAGCGGCUAUGCAUAGAGGGGCGAGAGAGAAGGACACAGACGUCCCGAACCUGCCUCAACUCCAACUUGACUUUCGCGGUUCGAUUCUGAUCGGAUCGAUCUAACUAGCGCGCCGGCAAGCAAACCGGCCACCGGUAUUUACUGUUGCUCUCUUCGUCGUGCGCGCGCUCGCCGCUGUACUCACGCGCCUUCUCCGCCCGUUUAUCAUGUGUUGCAUCGCGUUCGAUCGGCGUGAGCCGCGAUCGUUCUUCAACCGGGACCAUUUGUCCUUCCUUUUGCCAUUUUUCUUUUCCUUUUUCUACCCUUCGUCCUGUUCGUUGCUUUGCUUUCGGUCGGAAUGGACGCAUCGCCGCGAUGGACGAGAUUGCAAGAAUUAGAGAGCCGAUAGCGGAUUGCUUUGUUCGUAGUUUCCUUGAAAAUGAAACUGCACGGUAUUGGGAAUACGUAACUGUAGCAUUUUGUAAGUUGUUCGAUCGCAUCCCUGUAGCUUCGAACAGACAAAGUACGAGAUUUUCAAAUGAUAACGAGACCGUUUGACAACAUUUCUGGGUGAAUAACAAGAACGGAAUAUAUAUUUAACAUCUUAGAAUCGUUACCUCUUAAUUGGAUCAAGAAUAUAAAGAGAAAGAUAUUAUUCGCAAAUAAUUGAAUCAUUAAUGGCUCCUGGUUUCUUAACACGUUUGUGUGCUAAUAAAUGAAUACAUUGUUCGAAAUAUUCUCGAGUUCUAUUUUCUCAAUUUUCUGUACAUAAUACGUAUAUGCUAUAAA